UACGGAGGAUGCGAGCGUUAUCCGGAUUUAUUGGGUUUAAAGGGUGCGUAGGCGGGUUAUCAAGUCAGCGGUAAAAUCGUGGAGCUCAACUCCAUCCAGCCGUUGAAACUGGCGUUCUUGAGUGAGCGAGAAGUAUGCGGAAUGCGUGGUGUAGCGGUGAAAUGCAUAGAUAUCACGCAGAACUCCGAUUGCGAAGGCAGCAUACCGGCGCUCAACUGACGCUCAUGCACGAAAGCGUGGGUAUCGAACAGG
RNAcentral lists this ribosomal RNA (252 nucleotides) under uncultured Bacteroidales bacterium. RNAcentral's name for it is "partial 16S ribosomal RNA". It matches the Rfam family "Bacterial small subunit ribosomal RNA", at positions 524 to 776 of the family's 1533-position model. The record is from RNAcentral. Lineage: Bacteria; Pseudomonadati; Bacteroidota; Bacteroidia; Bacteroidales.